Molecule: ribosomal RNA, 584 nt
Filed under: Phyllaphis fagi
Lineage: Eukaryota; Metazoa; Arthropoda; Insecta; Hemiptera; Aphididae
Description: partial 16S large subunit ribosomal RNA
Source: RNAcentral
AUUUAUUAAAUUAAUAUUAAUGUUUGUAUUUAAGGAUUUUAUAAAAAUAAUUUAUUUAUUUUAUGUUUUAGUAUUAAUUAAAAAAAAAUUUUUAAAUUUAUAGUUUAAUAGUAUUGUAAAAGAAUUAAAUUAAAUUUUAGAAAGAAUUUAUAAUUAAAGUACCUUUUGUAUCAGGGUUAAUUAAAAUUUUAAAUUUAAUUUUUAAUUCUCAAAAUUUAUAGAGUUAAUUUUAUUAUUAAUUUACUGUGUUAUAAGUAUUUAUAAAAUAAUAUUAGUUUUGAAAUUUAAUUCGUUAUAAUAUAUUUAGUUAUUUAAGAAUUAAAUUUAAUUUAGAAUUUUAAAAGUUAAGUUAAUUUUAUUAAUUGAAAUUUUAAAUUUAAAUUAUUUUAAGGAUAAGCUUGAAAUUUUUAUAUAAUAUUAAUUUAAAAUUUUAAAUAGUUUAUAGGAAUAGAAAUUUUUAUUUAAGUUUGUAAAAAUUUAUUAUUUUUUUUUAUUUAAUUUAUUAAUUUUAUUUAUUAUUAAUAUUAAAUUUUAUAAAUAAAUUAAUUAUUUAUAGUAAUAAUGAUUAAAUUAGUAUAAUAAAA